Molecule: ribosomal RNA, 433 nt
Filed under: uncultured bacterium
Lineage: Bacteria
Description: partial 16S ribosomal RNA
Rfam family: Bacterial small subunit ribosomal RNA
Source: RNAcentral
AGCGAACGCUGGCGGCAGGCUUAACACAUGCAAGUCGAGCGGGCCUUUCGGGGUCAGCGGCGGACGGGUGAGGAACGCGGGGGAACGUGCCCUCUGGUUCGGGAUAACUCAGGGAAACUUGAGCUAAUACCGGAUACGCCCCUCUGGGGCAAGGCACGAUGCCGGAGGUUAGGCCGGAGUCUGAUUAACUGGGUGGUGAGGUAAGGGCGCAUGAAGGCGAAGAUCGGUAGCUGGUCUGAGAGGCUGGGAGGCCACACUGGGACUGAGACACGGCGCAGACUCCUACGGGAUGCGGGAGUGGGGAAUAUUGGACAAUGGGCUGAAGCCUGAUCCAGCCAGGCCGCGUGAGUGAUGAAGGCCUUAGGGUUGUAAAGCUCUUUUAUCCCGGACGAUAAUGACGGUACCGGAAGAAUAAGCCCCGGCUAACUUCGUG